UGCUGCUUUCACAGGUCCGGC
Molecule: microRNA, 21 nt
Filed under: Eptesicus fuscus (big brown bat)
Lineage: Eukaryota; Metazoa; Chordata; Mammalia; Chiroptera; Vespertilionidae
Description: efu-miR-9352
Source: miRBase by way of RNAcentral